Molecule: ribosomal RNA, 117 nt
Filed under: Chelonoidis abingdonii (Abingdon island giant tortoise)
Lineage: Eukaryota; Metazoa; Chordata; Testudines; Testudinidae
Source: RNAcentral
UCCUGCAGCCAUGGCACCUUCAUUUGUGAUCUGGUCAGCGCGCACAGUCUAAGUAGGUUUGGGUCUAUUCAAUACUUGAAUGGGGGACGCCUUAAGAAAAAUAAAGUUCUGUAGUAA